Molecule: ribosomal RNA, 253 nt
Filed under: uncultured bacterium
Lineage: Bacteria
Description: partial 16S ribosomal RNA
Rfam family: Bacterial small subunit ribosomal RNA
Source: RNAcentral
UACAGAGGGUGCAAGCGUUAAUCGGAAUUACUGGGCGUAAAGCGCGCGUAGGUGGUUUGUGAAGUUGGAUGUGAAAUCACCGGGCUCAACCUGGGAACUGCAUUCAAAACUGACUGACUAGAGUGCGGUAGAGGGUGGUGGAAUUUCCUGUGUAGCGGUGAAAUGCGUAGAUAUAGGAAGGAACACCAGUGGCGAAGGCGACCACCUGGACCAACACUGACACUGAGGUGCGAAAGCGUGGGGAGCAAACAGG